GACGAACGCUGGCGGCGUGCUUAACACAUGCAAGUCGAACGGGAAGGCCCUGCUUUUGUGGGGUGCUCGAGUGGCGAACGGGUGAGUAACACGUGAGUAACCUGCCCUUGACUUUGGGAUAACUUCAGGAAACUGGGGCUAAUACCGGAUAGGAGCUCCUGCUGCAUGGUGGGGGUUGGAAAGUUUCGGCGGUUGGGGAUGGACUCGCGGCUUAUCAGCUUGUUGGUGGGGUAGUGGCUUACCAAGGCUUUGACGGGUAGCCGGCCUGAGAGGGUGACCGGCCACAUUGGGACUGAGAUACGGCCCAGACUCCUACGGGAGGCAGCAGUGGGGAAUAUUGCACAAUGGGCGGAAGCCUGAUGCAGCAACGCCGCGUGCGGGAUGACGGCCUUCGGGUUGAAAACCGCUUUCGCCUGUGACGAAGCGUGAGUGACGGUAAUGGGUAAAGAAGCACCGGCUAACUACGUG
This 468-nucleotide ribosomal RNA is filed under the name uncultured bacterium. Its description in RNAcentral is "partial 16S ribosomal RNA". It matches the Rfam family "Bacterial small subunit ribosomal RNA", at positions 28 to 507 of the family's 1533-position model. The record is from RNAcentral.